CAGAGAGUAGUUUAAUGUAGAAUACCAGCUUUGGGAGCUGGAGAUAGAGGUUUAAGCCCUCUUUUUCUGA
Molecule: transfer RNA, 70 nt
Filed under: Gavia arctica
Lineage: Eukaryota; Metazoa; Chordata; Aves; Gaviiformes; Gaviidae
Also listed under: 1 other name
Description: tRNA-Pro
Rfam family: tRNA
About the family: Transfer RNA (tRNA) molecules are approximately 80 nucleotides in length. Their secondary structure includes four short double-helical elements and three loops (D, anti-codon, and T loops). Further hydrogen bonds mediate the characteristic L-shaped molecular structure. tRNAs have two regions of fundamental functional importance: the anti-codon, which is responsible for specific mRNA codon recognition, and the 3' end, to which the tRNAs corresponding amino acid is attached (by aminoacyl-tRNA synthetases). tRNAs cope with the degeneracy of the genetic code in two manners: having more than one tRNA (with a specific anti-codon) for a particular amino acid; and 'wobble' base-pairing, i.e. permitting non-standard base-pairing at the 3rd anti-codon position.
Source: RNAcentral